CAGCUUAUCAGUUUCUACUGUCUCAAGCUUCCUACUUCUCGUCGAUUUAUAUGUUGCAAAAUUUUAUAACAGUUUGAUAAAUAAUGAAUGUUUUCACAAUUUCCGAUGUUUCUAGUAGGCUAUAUAGAUACUUUUGCAAUUCGCACGUGGAAGAUAUAGUGAAACAAAUGACGCGAAUUAGCAGUAAGAAAUUAUUGCGUUAAAUUUUAGGUUACCGCGUGUGUAGAUUGGAAAAUCAUGGGGAAUUUAAAAAUAUUCCUCAAGCAAAAAAAUAAGUAAAAUUAUACAAAAUUAUAACCAAACGAACAACCGUAAAGUAUAAAAAAGCUAGAAUGAACAAUCAAUCGCAGAAUUGCAAUUGCUCCAGAAGAAGACAAAGAGAGUUGAAUAACAGAAGGUUAAGAGAGCGAUGCACGCGAUUAAAGGAAACAUUAGUAUGCAACGGUGAUGAGGAAUUUUAUAACAUGCACCAUCUUCGAGAAGAGUUUUCUCAGGUGUCUUCUCAAAGCAGUUCAGUCAUUGAGCUUCCUUGGAAGGAUAUUGCCUUAGGUGCUGCUGACUUGGCGAAAAUCGAAAGCAGCAAAGUAGCUCAAGAGAAAGCGGCAACUGCGGAAGAAGGGGAAGGUGGGCUGGUAAAGAAGGAAUCUUGCGAGUUUGUACAGUUACCAUGGGAGGAUCUGAUGAUAACGUGUACCGUAGACUCCGAGAGAGCUAAAUCAAAUAUGAAAAAAUGCGAUUCCUCGCUGGAAAUUCCUUGGCAUGAUAUUUUGUUCGAUCCCAAUAUCAAAAUCGAUGACAACCAACAUUCCAAAAAGUGCGAUAAGGACGAGGUGGAAAUUCCAUGGGAUGAUUUGCUGUUGUCAAAAAAUAUUGUUUUCUCAUCGAAAAAUAAAUGCCCGACUGCGCGUAAACGCUUGCCAAAAACGAGCAAUAAGAAAUGCGGCUGCUCGAGGUCUAGGAAGUAAUGAGAAAAUUUUAUAGAUUUCCAGUGUAAACACGAUAUUGUAAUUCUAGAACUGUCGGUCAACUAGAACAAAAUUAUAAAGUACACCUAUUUUACGACGAUAUAUGUAUAGCAAAAUUAUUAAUACACCGUGUAUAAAGCAAGUUGUUGUGCCGCAUGCAAUUAUUAAACGUUUCACAUUUCAUAAUUCAUCCGAUUUAUCGCGUCUCGCGAGUACAGUUACACUUCGAAUUAUUGCACUCCGUCGCUUCUGAAUCAUUUGUUAUUAUCCAAUGCCCGCGACCACAUUCAGAGUGUGACUAACAAUAAAGCUCUCAUAUCUCAUUUGCAUUUUAUAACCAAAGAUAUCAUGUAAGUUUUGAUAAGCAACCACAGCGCAACGUCGAUUCAAAAUUCCUGCUCGUAUAUAAACCACAGCCAAUAUAAUAGCAAUAAACUCGAAAAUUAACAGUCGCAAUUAAGAAAAAAAGGAGCAACAAGAAAAAUGAGUGUUUUCGGCUCGGCAAAAACGAAUUUCAGCAACUCGGAGAUGAGCCUCGGGUCAUCCGCGUUGAUGACCGCUGCGUCGACGUACACUCUAUCCGAUUGCGAUUACGAAACGUCGAGCGAGCUGCUCAGUCCGCGCGAAGCAGUAGCCAACGACGACGACGACGACUCUCAAAUUUCACCGACAUCAUCACGUUCAUCCGAUAUCCCCGACUACGACGACCUCGCGAUUCGAACGAGCUCGGUUUUGCUCGACAAAGCCGCGAGAGAGUCCUCUGUGUCCAUCGGAGCGGACGGAUACGUAUUGAGCGCAAAGAGCGACACUUGUCUCUCCCAACAGAGCCGAGCGAUUUCCGACUUUGUCAAUGAAGUUCUCAUCGACGCUCAACAGCAGUCGAAUACUGCCUCGCCUAUUCAGAAUGAAUGUCAUUCAACUCCACGAGCCGAAAACAGUUCGUUGAUCGCAGCGAUUGAAAUAGAGCCUGACCUGCAGCAGCGUCACAGCUCGUCCAAUUCAGCAUGCUAUUGUUCCCGCGAAACUUUGACGCGUCAGGAAUCAUCGGCUCCGGAUGACGAUAAGAUAAAAGCGACGGAAGUCGCGACAAGCUUGAGCGAAGCGAAGAACAAGAUAAUCGAGAAUCUCGCCCAGGUCACCUACGACAAGCUGUUCUCGAGACCAGGAUGGCGUCGCUCCGGUGACACCGAUCGGAGUAGCCAAGGCGAGCCUGUCUCCAAAGCGUCAUCCCAGAAGUCUCGACUCUCGCGGAGAUCGUCGCGCUGCAGCGGCGUCGAGUCGAUCCUGCGAAUCGACUACGAGCUUCAACCUCUGAACCUCAGGCUAUCUAGACUCCUGGCGGAAUUUCGCGCGAUGGACCUGAGAGGAAAAAUCGGAUUCGUCGAUCCCAGCUUCUACGAGUUUUCUUUGCCACGAGACGGAAGCUUCGCGUCGACGGCUGGGGAUAACGAGACGCGGAAAACCGUUGAAACCUGCGAGCAGUUUUUACGGCCCGAAGAGCGAGUAGUAGUAGCUUCGAGGUCGGAAAAAAGUUGCGCGCGAAGCUCGCGCCAAGGCGAUGGACGGGAGCCGUACAGCGUGGAAGGCUGCCAAUUAAGGUUGCAAUCGUCGGAAGAGAGCAGUUUGCACUGCGUCCACCAGCAGCAGCGGCCCAAGAGAAACGCCGAGUGUCGAAAGCAGUCGCGUCAUCAUCGUCAUCAUCAUGAGAAAAGCGACGAAUGUCCAUCAUCGGCGCAAAAAGCGAGAACCUGCUGCUGCUGCUGCAGCGACGAGGACACCGAUUUCGGCUGCUGCUGCUGCUGCUGCAGGCCGCCGGGAAAAAAGGACGAAAUCGAAAGUUCAAUGUCUCGUCGGCAAUUGAUUUCACCGGCGUUUUUAACGCGACCGAUGGAAGCCGGCGAUUCACUUUCGAACGGUAGUGACGCAGGUGUUACCUGUGGAAGGUCGAUUAUGAUGAUCGAGAUGUGCGAUUUGAGAGAAGCUCGCUGUGCGGAGAGGAGGGGACGGGGUGAUCGAUGAUGUUGGGAUAAAUCGGGGAGGAGCUUUCGAAUAUUGAUUUGGGAUCGGUAAAUUGUACGUGAUUUUUUUUUCUUUCCUCAUUUCUAUUUCUGUUAUUCUCUCGUUGGAGUUGGGCUGUACUGUGGACUAUUUCAAAUAUUGUGUACAUACUGAUGUAUAGUUUUCAUUAAAGACAAAUCUAUAUUAAAGGA
Molecule: RNA transcript, 3175 nt
Organism: Nasonia vitripennis (jewel wasp)
Lineage: Eukaryota; Metazoa; Arthropoda; Insecta; Hymenoptera; Pteromalidae
Exons: 3
Source: RefSeq, a predicted model, not a curated record